RNAcentral lists this ribosomal RNA (507 nucleotides) under uncultured bacterium. RNAcentral describes it as "bacterial SSU rRNA". It matches the Rfam family "Bacterial small subunit ribosomal RNA", at positions 28 to 526 of the family's 1533-position model. The record is from RNAcentral.
GAUGAACGCUAGCGACAGGCCUAACACAUGCAAGUCGAGGGGCAGCAUGAAUGUAGCAAUACAUUCGAUGGCGACCGGCGCACGGGUGAGUAACACGUAUGCAAUCUACCCUCUACAGGGAAAUAGCCCGUUGAAAGACGGAUUAAUGUCCCAUAACACAGCAAUUCCGCAUGGAGUAUCUGUUAAAGAUUUAUCGGUAGAAGAUGAGCAUGCGCUCCAUUAGAUAGUAGGCGGGGUAACGGCCCACCUAGUCAACGAUGGAUAGGGGAACUGAGAGGUUUAUCCCCCACACUGGUACUGAGACACGGACCAGACUCCUACGGGAGGCAGCAGUGAGGAAUAUUGGUCAAUGGGCGAGAGCCUGAACCAGCCAAGUCGCGUGAAGGAUGACAGCCCUACGGGUUGUAAACUUCUUUUUAAGGAGAGUAAAACAGAGGACGUGUCCUCUCUUGCAAGUAUCCUUAGAAUAAGCAUCGGCUAACUCCGUGCCAGCAGCCGCAGUAAAAC